This 253-nucleotide ribosomal RNA is filed under the name uncultured bacterium. RNAcentral describes it as "partial 16S ribosomal RNA". It matches the Rfam family "Bacterial small subunit ribosomal RNA", at positions 524 to 776 of the family's 1533-position model. The record is from RNAcentral.
UACAGAGGGGGCAAGCGUUGUUCGGAAUUACUGGGCGUAAAGGGCGCGUAGGCGGCCUGCUAAGUCGAACGUGAAAUCCCUGGGCUCAACCCAGGAACUGCGUCCGAUACUGGUUGGCUUGAAUCCGGGAGAGGGAUGUGGAAUUCCAGGUGUAGCGGUGAAAUGCGUAGAUAUCUGGAGGAACACCGGUGGCGAAGGCGACAUCCUGGACCGGUAUUGACGCUGAGACGCGAAAGCGUGGGGAGCAAACAGG